AGUGAACGCUGGCGGUAGGCCUAACACAUGCAAGUCGAACGGCAGCACAGUAAGAGCUUGCUCUUACGGGUGGCGAGUGGCGGACGGGUGAGGAAUACAUCGGAAUCUACUUUUUCGUGGGGGAUAACGUAGGGAAACUUACGCUAAUACCGCAUACGACCUACGGGUGAAAGCAGGGGAUCUUCGGACCUUGCGCGAUUGAAUGCGCCGAUGUCGGAUUAGCUAGUUGGCGGGGUAAAUGCCCACCAAGGCGACGAUGCGUAGCCGGUCUGAGAGGAUGGUCGGCCACAUUGGAACUGAGACACGGUCCAGACUCCUACGGGAGGCAGCAGUGGGGAAUAUUGGACAAUGGGCGCAAGCCUUAUCCAGUCAUACCGCGUGGGUGAAGAAGGCCUUCGGGGUGUAAAGCCCUUUUGUGGGGAAAGAAAAGCAGCAGGUUAAUACCCCGCUGUUCUGACGGUACCCAAAGAAUAAGCACCGGCUAACUUCGUG
RNAcentral lists this ribosomal RNA (492 nucleotides) under uncultured bacterium. RNAcentral describes it as "partial 16S ribosomal RNA". It matches the Rfam family "Bacterial small subunit ribosomal RNA", at positions 29 to 507 of the family's 1533-position model. The record is from RNAcentral.